AGAGUUUGAUCAUGGCUCAGGAUGAACGCUAGCUACAGGCUUAACACAUGCAAGUCGAGGGGAAACGACAUCGAAAGCUUGCUUUUGAUGGGCGUCGACCGGCGCACGGGUGAGUAACGCGUAUCCAACCUGCCCACCACUUGGGGAUAACCUUGCGAAAGUAAGACUAAUACCCAAUGAUAUCUCUAGAAGACAUCUGAAAGAGAUUUAAAGAUUUAUCGGUGAUGGAUGGGGAUGCGUCUGAUUAGCUUGUUGGCGGGGUAACGGCCCACCAAGGCGACGAUCAGUAGGGGUUCUGGAGAGGAAGGUCCCCCANAUUGGAACUGGAGACACGGUCCAAACGUCCUACGGGAGGCA
This 357-nucleotide ribosomal RNA is filed under the name uncultured bacterium. RNAcentral's name for it is "bacterial SSU rRNA". It matches the Rfam family "Bacterial small subunit ribosomal RNA", at positions 8 to 350 of the family's 1533-position model. The record is from RNAcentral.